UACGUAGGGUGCAAGCGUUAAUCGGAAUUACUGGGCGUAAAGCGUGCGCAGGCGGUUUUGUAAGUCUGUUGUGAAAUCCCCGGGCUCAACCUGGGAAUUGCGAUGGAGACUGCAAGGCUAGAGUUUGGCAGAGGGGGGUAGAAUUCCACGUGUAGCAGUGAAAUGCGUAGAUAUGCGGAGGAACACCGAUGGCGAAGGCAAUCCCCUGGGCCUGCACUGACGCUCAUGCACGAAAGCGUGGGGAGCAAACAGG
This 253-nucleotide ribosomal RNA is filed under the name uncultured bacterium. Its description in RNAcentral is "partial 16S ribosomal RNA". It matches the Rfam family "Bacterial small subunit ribosomal RNA", at positions 524 to 776 of the family's 1533-position model. The record is from RNAcentral.